Long non-coding RNA from Aethina tumida (small hive beetle), 408 nucleotides. RefSeq lists it as uncharacterized. Lineage: Eukaryota; Metazoa; Arthropoda; Insecta; Coleoptera; Nitidulidae. The record is from RefSeq and is a predicted model, not a curated record. The transcript has 2 exons.
CACAAAUUUAGUUAUCAUCACCUUGUAAACCAGAAAGUAUAAAUACCGACGUGGUCAAUCUUCCUUUUAAACAACGAAAUGAAGUUUAUCGUGAUCUGUGCCGUUCUACUGUGCCCUAUUUAUGCCCUUGUGUGCCCGCCAAAUUAUUGCUCCACCGUUGAUUGCAGCGACGAACCUUAUUCGUGUGAAGAAGGGCAGGUUAUAUCCAAAGGAUUUUGCGGCUGCUGCAACAUAUGCGUCACACUUUUAAAUGAAGGAGAGACUUGUAUACUUUUGGGAAUUGGAGGGCCACCACCACGUGCCCGUUGUGCACCGGGGUUGGAAUGUCUGAACAGGAAGUGCCAAAAAAUUUAACGAUCUUUGUUGUAAUUUUAUUUAACAAGAUAAAAUAAAUUCGUGCGUUCACAA